CCUGCAAAGCAGACCGCGAACACGUGUUUAAACAAAUCGGGGCCGUGGCCAGCCG
This 55-nucleotide ribosomal RNA is filed under the name Oxera rugosa. RNAcentral's name for it is "partial 18S ribosomal RNA". Lineage: Eukaryota; Viridiplantae; Streptophyta; Magnoliopsida; Lamiales; Lamiaceae. The record is from RNAcentral.